GUCAGGAUAGCUCAGUUGGUAGAGCAGAGGACUGAAAAUCCUCGUG
This 46-nucleotide transfer RNA is filed under the name Trisetum flavescens. RNAcentral's name for it is "partial tRNA-Phe". It matches the Rfam family "tRNA", at positions 1 to 45 of the family's 71-position model. Rfam says of the family: Transfer RNA (tRNA) molecules are approximately 80 nucleotides in length. Their secondary structure includes four short double-helical elements and three loops (D, anti-codon, and T loops). Further hydrogen bonds mediate the characteristic L-shaped molecular structure. tRNAs have two regions of fundamental functional importance: the anti-codon, which is responsible for specific mRNA codon recognition, and the 3' end, to which the tRNAs corresponding amino acid is attached (by aminoacyl-tRNA synthetases). tRNAs cope with the degeneracy of the genetic code in two manners: having more than one tRNA (with a specific anti-codon) for a particular amino acid; and 'wobble' base-pairing, i.e. permitting non-standard base-pairing at the 3rd anti-codon position. RNAcentral also lists the same sequence under 3 other names. The record is from RNAcentral. Lineage: Eukaryota; Viridiplantae; Streptophyta; Magnoliopsida; Poales; Poaceae.